This 1812-nucleotide long non-coding RNA is filed under the name Schizosaccharomyces pombe (fission yeast). The record is from RNAcentral. Lineage: Eukaryota; Fungi; Ascomycota; Schizosaccharomycetes; Schizosaccharomycetales; Schizosaccharomycetaceae.
UAGACGACCGGCGGCCAUGAUAAGCGUAUACAAAUCGCCUCCCGAACAAAGCUCCAUCACUUCACAAUAGUCACCCUUGCCGUCCUGGAUCAGGUCUAAUGUAUGAAUCACGUUUGGAUGUCGCAAUGAAGAAGAAAUACAAAACUCAGAUGUUAAGCGCUUUGUAUACUUCUUUUGAGACUCGGCAGGCUUUCGACGGAACUCCUUAACGGCAUACAAUGUCUCAGAGCCGGAGUUUUGAGGAUCAACUUUAUGUGCGAUUCUAACAACGCCAAAAGCGCCACGACCAAUAACCUCCUGACAGCGACCAUAUUUCUCUACAAAACUUGCAGAAACUUUAGCGGGAUCUUUUUUGUCAGCAAGCUUUUCUUGACCAUAUCCGUUGAUCCAUGAUUGAACAAGACUGAGUUGAUGCUGUGCAUCAGCAGCUUCUUUAGCUAUCCUCUCUUCCUCACGCUUUUUACUGUUACCGGCAAGGAAGUCUUUUAACAUCUUACCAAGCUUCUCUUGCCGACGAGCAGGCCUUAAUUGAUGCGUAUGACUUGCAUCGUCAUAAACAGUAAAGCGAGACCACUUCGCAGAGGAAGGAUUUGAAGUAGAUGAACUAUUAGCAGCACCACCUGUUUCACUACCACCUGUGCUAUUCGUUUCCUCAGUAUUUGCAACAGCUGCGCCUCGACCAGUUCGACUGUUUUGGCGAGAUACAGAGUUUUGUGAAAAAAUACGUUGAAGACGAGUGACUGGAUUUCUAGAUGGUGUUGCUGUAGUGGAAACAGGUGCUGGGCCGUUGGAAGGCGUAGAAGGAUUAGGAGAGGCAGCUACAGAUAGUACGUGAACGUUAGCUGCCGCUGGAUUAGAGACGACACCAGCUUUGUGAGGUGUAGUGGUAGCAGUUGAGUUUGCUCGGGAUACAGAAGCUGAAGGAGGAACGGACCCAGAGGGCAACUCUGCAUGGUGCGCUGCUGGAUUAGGAGAGACGGCUGCUGGUUUGUUUGAAGUAGAGCUAACAUGGCGAGAUGGGUUAUUGCUAGGAGGUGGCAUUGCAGUGGUUUGAUUAGGUUUGGAUGAAACGACAGGUUUAGAUAAGGGCUGCUGAGAUUGCAGGCUUACAUUGGAAGAAGAGGCCACUGCAUCUAUCGAUGCAGGAGUUUGCUGCACAGAGUUAAGGGAAGGACGGACAUUUUGUUUUAAAGCACUUGGAGAAGCAGCUUCUUUGCCAUUUGGAGUGCUUGGAGGUUGCUGAGAUGAUGGCGGAGGAGGUUCUGUCGUUUCACGAGCUUUAGGGGUUGACUUCAGCGACCCAAGCCCUAAGGAAGCAAAUUUGCUUGAAAUUUCGUGGAGUUUGUCUUUUUCACCCAUUUUUUAGCUGAUGAAAAAUUUUUUUCACCUAAAUAUGAAUGCACGACUCGUUUCGCGAACAAACUUGGGUUACGGAGGAUUCUCGGUUAGUCUCCUUUAAAAAUAGAGAUAUAAAUCUCUUAGAGACUAUUAAGAAAUAGAAUACAGGCAGUUUAGAGCCCUAAAAGCCGCCAACUACUGACUUUCUCUAUUUGCCAAUACUUUUCGGUAUGUUGCUAACGGAUGACCCCAUUCACCCAACCUUCUCACUAAAGCCUUCUGCUUAAUACACUGCAACGAACCCUUUAAUAUGAGAAUUACAGCCACGUUAAUAGGUAACUCUGUUGAGGAACGUAGCCACAACCUUAUUAAGAUGUCAACGGAAGAUGCGUUAUUAUGAGCAAACGUUGGGGGCUACGAGAUAAAAGAAUACAAUCGUCAGCUUUGCUAUCAAAGAUAAAGAGUGGAAGUGCA